Molecule: non-coding RNA, 26 nt
Filed under: Rattus norvegicus (Norway rat)
Lineage: Eukaryota; Metazoa; Chordata; Mammalia; Rodentia; Muridae
Source: RNAcentral
CUUGAUGAUGAAUGUAUUAUAAAUGA